UGAGCAGCAAGAGAGCAGGUCUAAGAGAUGGGAACCUGCUUGCACACUGUAAAGAAAGAAUAAGGAACUCCUGGCUUGCUGGCUCUGUCUCUGCAGCCAGGGAGGAGCCUGCAGACUUGCUGCCCCACUCUUCUGUAUCAGAAACCUAUUUGACCAUGCUGCAAUUCCCUGAGCUACAAACUAGAUAAAGGCUUUUACUGGAACAUGGCAAGUAACUGUAUGUUCAGGCUGACUAGUAGUAAAGCUGUGGAAUCUUUCUCAAAGAUCAUUCUGCUGGAUAGCUGAUUCCUCAGGAAUCCUAUUUUAGGAUUAAUAGGCACUUGCAUCAUUUUGGUCCUAUGUGCUGUUUUAAGGAGCAUCUACAUCAUCAUCAAAUAUUUUUAUUGUGCUGACAGUGCACACAAAGUGAAAUGUGAAGGCAGACCGGGAUGGUGGGCACGCUCAGACGGCGCUAGAAAUCAUAUCUGUGGCAGAAAUCGUGAACAGAUCACCCAAAAACCUGGAGGGACGCGCGCGGCAGCUCCCAAAAGCCCGAGGCUUGCCGCUAGAUGGCAAACUUUAAUUUUCAAAUCCUGGAGCUGCCACCGCUCCUGC
Molecule: long non-coding RNA, 594 nt
Organism: Parus major (Great Tit)
Lineage: Eukaryota; Metazoa; Chordata; Aves; Passeriformes; Paridae
Source: Ensembl